UACGAAGGGGGCUAGCGUUGCUCGGAAUCACUGGGCGUAAAGCGCACGUAGGCGGAUCGCUAAGUCAGGGGUGAAAUCCUGGAGCUCAACUCCAGAACUGCCUUUGAUACUGGCAAUCUCGAGUCCGGGAGAGGUGAGUGGAACUGCGAGUGUAGAGGUGAAAUUCGUAGAUAUUCGCAAGAACACCAGUGGCGAAGGCGGCUCACUGGCCCGGUACUGACGCUGAGGUGCGAAAGCGUGGGAGCGACAGG
This 251-nucleotide ribosomal RNA is filed under the name uncultured bacterium. RNAcentral's name for it is "partial 16S ribosomal RNA". It matches the Rfam family "Bacterial small subunit ribosomal RNA", at positions 524 to 775 of the family's 1533-position model. The record is from RNAcentral.